UCCCCCUUAGUUCAGUCGGUAGAACGGCGGACUGUUAAUCCGUAUGUCGCUGGUUCAAGUCCAGCAGGGGGAG
Molecule: non-coding RNA, 73 nt
Organism: Grimontia sp. AD028
Lineage: Bacteria; Pseudomonadati; Pseudomonadota; Gammaproteobacteria; Vibrionales; Vibrionaceae
Source: Rfam